Molecule: transfer RNA, 73 nt
Filed under: Vicugna pacos (alpaca)
Lineage: Eukaryota; Metazoa; Chordata; Mammalia; Artiodactyla; Camelidae
Description: tRNA-Ala (AGC) (tRNA-Ala-AGC-93-1)
Rfam family: tRNA
About the family: Transfer RNA (tRNA) molecules are approximately 80 nucleotides in length. Their secondary structure includes four short double-helical elements and three loops (D, anti-codon, and T loops).
Source: RNAcentral
GGAGGGUAUAGCUCAGUGGUAGAGCGCAUGCUUAGCAUGCAUGAGGUCCUGGGUUCAAUCCCCAGUACUUCCA